This is a long non-coding RNA of Prunus persica (peach), 2255 nucleotides long. RefSeq lists it as uncharacterized. The transcript is spliced from 2 exons. Lineage: Eukaryota; Viridiplantae; Streptophyta; Magnoliopsida; Rosales; Rosaceae. The record is from RefSeq and is a predicted model, not a curated record.
CAUUUUUGAUAAAUUAUAUAUAUAUAUAUACACACUAAAACUGAAUCCACCGAGUUACUGUUCUUAGACUGUAGCUUAGGAAUAGUGAAGUGACGAUUUUGCCCCCGCUUAAGUGAUGGUCUGCUUCCUUGAGUUGACGUUUGAGCAGUGAAUUAGCCGUUUUGCCAUCCAACUCUGUUCUCUUUACUUGAUCUGGCUUUCUUGCGGCCGUUGAUUUCAUUUGUGGCUGCUAUGGUGCGAAUUGGUAGUCUUUCGACCAACGGUUCUAAUGCCUCACCCGUUGGAUCUCCCGAUCGCUCCUCCUCGAGAUUCAACGACAGCCAUCCGACGAUGACAUGAUCAAUCGUCUGGGACCGGUGGUCUCUCCGAGGAUCUCGAACAAAAAAUUAUUAAGCAGGCAAGAUCUCUCUCUUUCUCUACUUGAGCAUGUGGAUAAUGAACCCUAGGAGCUUAAUAUCUGUUUGCAUGUAAAAGGAAAUAUGAUUGGGAGCUGAUAUUCUGAACUAAUCGACCAGUCUCUCAGCUGGAAGGUAAAGAUGGUUGGUUCAAUAUAAGAGCAUUCAAACAAAAAAUCUUAUUUAACGCUGUAUAAAAUACGUAGAAACCUACUUACCCUCUGUUUGUUUGCUAAGAAAAUGCAAGAAAAAAACAGAAAAUUUCAUCUUUUUAAACAUUUUACUGUUGUUUUGUGGGUAGGAGUUCAAUAAUUAUGCUUAUAAGAGCAUUUGAGGUCACCCACUUAAUAACAUUAGUACUUGUUAUUGAACUCACUUGGGUUUCUGUGGAAACUCAAGGACAUAAAGGCAAAAGUUUGAGUCUUUGUUCCAUAAUUAUGUUGGAUUGAAAAUUUGGUGCCUUUCUUCUUUCUUGCAUGUGCUUGGAAUUACAAUGAAAGCAGAAACAGGGAAGGAAAUCUCAUAUGAAAUGGGUAUUUUAUGUUGGAGGUUAGGUUUAUUUUAUGAUUUUGUACGUUAGGUUUCAUACUAAAUCAAUUUGAAAGGUUCCCCCGAAGACUAUAUGAAUUUCUUUUAAGUUUUUAUGAUUAUAAGUUAACACAUUAAAUUUAUUUUUUCUUAUCAGUUCUUUCAACUUUAUUUUGCUAAUUCAGUGAGAGUAGUUGUCAAAGAUGGCAUCAAAGCUUAGCAAAUCUAUGCUUGAUGGAUUGAUCAGUGAUAGGACUUUUGGUUAAAUCCCAAGCAGGGAAUGCAUUCUUUGCUAUAGUUCCCGGACAGGUCCUCUUGGCUUCCCUUGAUGUUAUCAGUAAGUUGAUUAGGGUUCUAUAACCUAUAGGUGUUUAUAGGUCAUUUCUGCUUUUAUAGCUUACUUGUCCAUUAGAUUGACAUAGCCUAUAAAUGGCAAUACAUGUAUCAGUUUUGACCAUAAUCUAUUCUUUUGUACAACAAACUUGCACAUGGUUUGAUUCUGUUAUGGGUAUUUGGUUUGAUUCUAUUUAAGUCUGGGUCUUUUGGUUUCAUUUCUGUUAUAGGUAUUUAAUAAUUUGAGGCAAUGACAGAUCAUACUUUUGUCCACCACAUUCGUAGAAUGCUUGGCGUAUUUAAAUUGUGGUUUGUGCAGUCGAUUUUUUGGCCUUAAUUCUAUAAUAAUAGCCAUUGUCUUCACUAAAUUUUCCCAUUUGUCUACACUAACACCUACCAAUUUCCAAAUUUGUAGCAACAAAAUAAACACCCAUUGAUUUGAUGCUAUUAAAGCUCGAGUGUUUUGGCUUAAUUCUCUCAUACCUAUUUAAUAAAUUGUCACAAUUGUUACUAAGUUCGUUAUCAAUUGAUUAAAUAGACGGAAGUUAUACUUUUGUCCAUCAGAUUAAUAGAAUGGUUGAUGUACCUAAACUGUUGUUUGUCCUGUUGGAUGUUUUAACUUAAUUUUGUGAUGAUGGUCUUCGCUCAAAUUUUUCCAUUUAUCUACACUUAACACCUGUCAUUUUCCAAAUUUGUACCUACAAAGUUAAAACCCCUGCAAAGGAAGAAAGAACAGAAGCCACCUCUAUAGCAAAGCCAUCAAGAGAAAGAUCCCCCUCCAACAGACAUCAAGGCAGAAAAUCCCCUUCCACCAUCCAAUAGCAUAUAUAUAUGAAGACCAGUCCAAACUCUUUUGAACAAUGAACAUCUUAAAACUGCUGAUAUUUUGAUGCUAUUUUGAUGUUCUGAUUGCUGCUUGGUUUAUUAAAAUAUGGUCAAUAUUUUAAUAUGACAAGCAGUAUAUAAAACAUGUUAUUAGUCUAUUUUUUGUAACAUCAA